GAUGAAGUGCCUGAAAAAGGGUUAUCUUGAUAGGAUAAAUGAUAUAAAAUUAACAAUUUUAUCUUCAUUA
Molecule: transfer RNA, 70 nt
Filed under: Phymateus morbillosus
Lineage: Eukaryota; Metazoa; Arthropoda; Insecta; Orthoptera; Pyrgomorphidae
Description: tRNA-Ile
Source: RNAcentral